UGGGGAAUCUUCCGCAAUGGACGGAAGUCUGACCCAGCCAUGCCGCGUGUGCGAAGAAGGUUUUCGGAUCGUAAAGCUCUUUUGUAGGAGAGGAAGGAGUGGAGGAGUGUAACCUUCACACUGUGACGGUCUCUUACAAGAAACGGACGGCUAAUUACUGGCCACCACCCGCGGUAUUACGUAGGUGCCGACCGUUGUCCGAAUUUAUGGGGCGUAAACCGAGCCCAGGCGGCUGUAUAAUUCUAAGUUUAAUCGCUGGGGUUUACCCGUAGUAUGCUUUGGAAACUGUUUAGCUUGAGUGCUGUAGAGGAGAGUGGAAUUCCAUGUGUAGCGGUGAAAUGCGUAGAUAUCUGGAGGAACACCGGUGGCGAAGGCGGCUCUCUGGAUUGUAACUGACGCUCAGGCUCGAAAGCGUGGGGAGCAAACAGGAUUAGAUACCCUGGUAGUCCACGCUGUAAACGAUGAGUGCUANGUGUUGUACCCUUUCCGGGGUUUANUGCCGUAUCUNACGCAUUAUCCACUCCNCCNGGGAGAGUACGACCGCNGGUUG
This 550-nucleotide ribosomal RNA is filed under the name uncultured bacterium. RNAcentral describes it as "bacterial SSU rRNA". It matches the Rfam family "Bacterial small subunit ribosomal RNA", at positions 355 to 896 of the family's 1533-position model. The record is from RNAcentral.